UACGGAAGGCAGCAGUGGGGAAUAUUGGACAAUGGGCGCAAGCCUGAUCCAGCCAUACCGCGUGGGUGAAGAAGGCCUUCGGGUUGUAAAGCCCCUUUUUGUUGGGAAAGAAAUCCAGCUGGUUUAAUACCCGGUUGGGGAUGACGGUACCCAAAGAAUAAGCACCGGCUAACUUCGUGCCAGCAGCCGCGGUAAUACGAAGGGUGCAAGCGUUACUCGGAAUUACUGGGCGUAAAGCGUGCGUAGGUGGUCGUUUUAAGUCCGUUGUGAAAGCCCUGGGCUCAACCUGGGAACUGCAGUGGGAUACUGGGCGACUAGAAUGUGGUAGAGGGUAGCGGAAUUCCUGGUGUAGCAGUGAAAUGCGUAGAGAUCAGGAGGAACAUCCAUGGCGAAGGCAGCUACCUGGACCAAACAUUGACACUGAGGCACGAAAGCGUGGGGAGCAAACAGGGAUUAGAUACC
Molecule: ribosomal RNA, 462 nt
Filed under: uncultured bacterium
Lineage: Bacteria
Description: bacterial SSU rRNA
Rfam family: Bacterial small subunit ribosomal RNA
Source: RNAcentral